CCUACGGGAGGCAGCAGUAGGGAAUAUUGCUCAAUGGGGGAAACCCUGAAGCAGCAACGCCGCGUGGAGGAUGAAGGUUUUCGGAUUGUAAACUAUUGUCCACAGGGAAGAAAAAGACUGUACCUGUGAAGAAAGCUCCGGCUAACUACGUGCCAGCAGCCGCGGUAAUACGUAGGGAGCAAGCGUUAUCCGGAUUUAUUGGGUGUAAAGGGUGCGUAGACGGGAUAACAAGUUAGUUGUGAAAACCCUCGGCUCAACUGAGGAACUGCAACUAAAACUAUUAUUCUUGAGUGCAGGAGGGGCAA
RNAcentral lists this ribosomal RNA (305 nucleotides) under uncultured bacterium. RNAcentral's name for it is "bacterial SSU rRNA". It matches the Rfam family "Bacterial small subunit ribosomal RNA", at positions 338 to 660 of the family's 1533-position model. The record is from RNAcentral.